CUUAAGUGAGAUCCUCUGCUCACCUGCAUCCACAGAGGUACAACUGUGAAGUUUCCACACAUUUUCUAUGUAAAAUGGCUGCCACUGCAUUUUAUAAUAACCUCCAUGUACAUUUUCAUGGGAUGUUGCCAGGUGAGCAUAUACUGCUUUAUCAGUGCUUCUAGGACUAUCUCAUAAAUAGCGCAGGUAUUCUUAUAAAUAGCAUGGGUAUUCUUAUGACAGAGUUAUGCUAGUAAGUUUGAUUAGCAUAAAGCAAAAAUUAAUUCCAUGACUCAUAUGUAAAGGUAACACACUCUGUUUCCCAUUGCCACCAAUUUCCUAAUCUUGUGAAGGUCUGUACCUUUUGAUGGCUGAAUGAAUUUGUGGAGAGCUUCUAUUUGGGCUCUCUGGAUGCUGUGUUAAGUUGGGUGUCAUCAGUACUUUGCUGUUCAAAGUGUGAUCCAAGGACCAGCAGCAUUGACAUCACCUGGGAGCUUAUUAAAAAUGCAGAACCUCAGGCCUAAUGCCAGACCUACUAAAUCAGAGUGCGUUUUAACACGAUCUCCUGGUGAUUUGUAAGCACAUUCAAGUUUGAGAAGCACCAGUCGUGCCUUUAUGUCUCAACUUCAUGCCUUCCUAAAUCUCCAUUUUUACGGACCCUCUACUUCCUACUUUUCUGAAAUCUCCAGGCCAUCAGCUAGCCAAUUCAGUUGGAUGCUUUUUAAAUUCUAAACUGUGUAACUUUGUGUGCCCGAAGCUGUCCCUCUCUUAUUUUGUCAGAGAAGGGGGAAUUUUUUCUUUUGCAUUCCUCAUAUUUGUCACCUCUGUCCCCUUGAUGAUUUUUGGUUUUGGACACAAAGCAUCACUUCUAGCUUUCAGGGGACAUAUUUUCUCUCUGAUCCACUUGAAGACUUUCUCAUGGCAUCUCUCUCAACAACAUUAAAGUAUUGUCAUCUUGUUUACUGUUGAAUUCUAUCAGAAAGGAUGAAGAAACAAAGUGAGAGAAGUCUGCUGAAAUAUACUUACGACAAUAUUCUAAAUGUCAUUUGUUGAGUGAUCCAUAAACUUUCAUGGUACAAGGAAUGGGAUUGUAUAAAAGUGACCCCGAGAGCUCACUCUUAGUUACCUGAAACAGUGAGCCAUCUGGAACCAGGAAUUAGCUUUUGACCAGUGGGAGAAGCCACACUUGAACUCAGCUUCCUGUAAGACUGAUGGCAUUAUUUUACCCUCUUCCAGGAACUACAAUUUUCUAAAAAAUUUCCUUUUUUAGUUGAGAUAUAAUUGAUAUACAACAUUAUAUUAGUAGAAUUACAACUUUCUAUGGUCUCCGCUGUCCUGAGGUGCUGGGCAGCUGGUUUUCACAGUUACUUCCUCUAAAUAGGUUGCAUGCAAUCCAGACUGCCUUAUGUUUAAGUUAUCUGCCUAUCUCUACUGAUAAGGUUGCUCUCAUGCUUGCCCUAUAAGAAAGGAGAGCAACAGUGGGGUGGGAUCUCUUCCCUGGAAUACUGUACUGAGUGUCCAUCAGAUGGCUCAGGCCCCUACGUACUCCCCCAUGGGAAAAAUGGGAGAAACAAAUGACCUGUGACUUUUGUUGUUACUGAUUCCUUGAGUUUUCUCAUUAAACCCUAGUUUUUAACCCUUACAACAUGAUAUUAUAAAAUUCAUCCUGAGCUCUGGUAAAGCUUCAUGUGGCCACCACAAAAGGACCCAUUUUGCACAACACAUUUAUUGAUGAUAAUCGAAGAGUUGUUCUGCAUACCCAAAUUUUGGACAGUUCGUACCUCAGUUUGUAUAUCUGUAACAUGGAUUGAAGUCACUGGCUAUAUUUGUGUUUUGCUUUGGAUAAAAUGUCCUCCUAUCUGUGUUAACUCAUGCAUUUUCUUCCAAUCCAUCUGUCUCCCUUCACAGCUCUCUCUCCUUGUCCAGCUAAGAUUCCAUGAUGUAUUGUUCAAUAAUAAUGUUGCUGGUACCCUAAACUCCCUUCACCUUCUGUCUUCUUUGAGGCAUCUGCCAAGGACUGCAACCAGCUAUGACAGCCACAGAUGUCUUCAGACAUUGCCAAAUGACCCUUAUAGGGCAAAAUUGCCUCUGGUUGAGAAUCAUUGCUCUAUCCUCAUGGCUCCUGUUAAGGUUACCAAUGACUUUCACAAUGCUAAGUCUCAUUUCUUAUCAUACCUGAUAUCUCAGUGGCAUCUGACAUUGUUAACCUCUCCCUUCCUGAAACAUUUUUCUCUUACCUCCAAUGACUUAACAUUCUUUUGAUUCUACCUUUACCUCUUGGCUUCUCCCUUCCUUCCUUCUUUUUUUUCUUCCUUCCUUCCUUGUUUCUUCCUCCCUCCCUCCCCGUCUCUCUCUCUCUCUCUUUUUUAUUUUCUUUCUAAAAAUAUCCUUUGCAGGUUCAUCUUCUGCCAAUUGACAAUUAAAUAUUGGUAUUCUGUUCUUACUCUGUUCUUUUUCUGGGGAAUCUCAUCCACACCAGGGCUUUAAUUUCCAUCUUUAUACUUCUGCUUCCAGCUAUGAUGAACUGGCUUCAGGAUGGUGAACAGCCAACCCUUUCAACAGUAACAUAAAAGCACUAAAUACAAUAAUUUGUCUAUUGCUUGUGAAUCUUUAUCUCUAUGUGAUAACUGUGAUAGCAGUUAGAGUAAAAAUAUCUGCUUCUAGCUCUACCUUUUGAAGUGGAAAAUUAGUUCUUAAUCAAAAUAAUAUGGAUAAAGAUGAAAAUGACAUUCCUUAAAUUGGCCUGGAAGGGCCUAAAUUAUCUGCCUCCACCUCUCACACCUCUCCACCCUCCCCAACCUCAUCCUGCAUCAUCAUCCC
RNAcentral lists this long non-coding RNA (2799 nucleotides) under Equus caballus (horse). RNAcentral describes it as "lncRNA (ENSECAG00000048395.1)". Lineage: Eukaryota; Metazoa; Chordata; Mammalia; Perissodactyla; Equidae. The record is from RNAcentral.